AGGGCAAUCUAGGAAUUUAGUUUCAGGUACAGGUUGGGUGUGCCUGAAGACUUGAUUACGUCAGCAAGGCUACGUUUCUGACAUCCUCGUGUAUUUAUCAGAAAGGAAGAAAGAAGAAAAGAUAGAAUUGUAUCCGGGUCUUAAAGACGGAGAGGACGAAAAGGAGUGGAUGGAACACCAGCUUCAACACCAGUACGGUACAAAUUGUAGUACUGGUGAACGGUACCGUGAUUUUUAUACUAGCACGUUAAGGUUGUAGGGGGGAGUUCUCGAGCGUGGGCCAACAUUUUGUUGGUAAGAAUAGCUGCACUUCGUGUGUUGUAUUAUUUUUGUCACUCGCGCGCGUCCCUUUACGCUCCGUAUUUUUGUUGAUUAUACCACGAAGAGGCUCUCCAUAAAAAUGUAAAAUGCGCAACAAUGCUGGGUUUAGGGUUAUUCUUUUAAGUAGGGCAUAGCUCCAAACAAAACACAUUUUCUUACAGGUGGCAAAUGGUUUCAUUGCCCCAAACAAUAGGGCAUAGAAUUUCUCUCUCCUUUCUUUUUACAGGUUCUCAUUUCUCUAUAUAGUUAUAUUAGAAUUGUUGCAGGCAGAAUGUCAGUAGUGGUUAACCCAGCAGCGUUGCAUAAACACACAACUACACAAAUAAUCCAAAUUCAAACACACCAAAACACAAUU
This is a non-coding RNA of Ciona intestinalis (vase tunicate), 676 nucleotides long. The record is from RefSeq and is a predicted model, not a curated record. NCBI's taxonomy places the organism in Eukaryota, Metazoa, Chordata, Ascidiacea, Phlebobranchia, Cionidae.